RNAcentral lists this ribosomal RNA (497 nucleotides) under uncultured bacterium. RNAcentral describes it as "partial 16S ribosomal RNA". It matches the Rfam family "Bacterial small subunit ribosomal RNA", at positions 28 to 507 of the family's 1533-position model. The record is from RNAcentral.
GAUGAACGCUGGCGACGUGCCUAAUACAUGCAAGUCGAGCGAACGGACGAGAAGCUUGCUUCUCUGAUGUUAGCGGCGGACGGGUGAGUAACACGUGGAUAACCUACCUAUAAGACUGGGAUAACUUCGGGAAACCGGAGCUAAUACCGGAUGAUAUUUUGAACCGCAUGGUUCAAAAGUGAAAGACGGUCUUGCUGUCACUUAUAGAUGGAUCCGCGCUGCAUUAGCUAGUUGGUAAGGUAACGGCUUACCAAGGCAACGAUGCAUAGCCGACCUGAGAGGGUGAUCGGCCACACUGGAACUGAGACACGGUCCAGACUCCUACGGGAGGCAGCAGUAGGGAAUCUUCCGCAAAGGGCGAAAGCCUGACGGAGCAACGCCGCGUGAGUGAUGAAGGUCUUCGGAUCGUAAAACUCUGUUAUUAGGGAAGAACAUAUGUGUAAGUAACUGUGCACAUCUUGACGGUACCUAAUCAGAAAGCCACGGCUAACUACGUG